Molecule: ribosomal RNA, 253 nt
Filed under: uncultured bacterium
Lineage: Bacteria
Description: partial 16S ribosomal RNA
Rfam family: Bacterial small subunit ribosomal RNA
Source: RNAcentral
UACGAAGGGUGCGAGCGUUAUUCGGAGUUACUGGGCGUAAAGAGCGUGGAGGCGGAUUUUUAAGUCAUUUGUGAAAGGCCCUGGCUUACCUGGGGAAAUGCGAGUGAAACUGGAAAUCUAGAGUACAAGAGAGAAGAGUGGAAUUCUCGGAGUAGCGGUAAAAUGCGUAGAUCUCGAGAGGAACACCGGUUGCGAAGGCGGCUCUUUGGCUUGUAACUGACGCUGGAGCGCGAAAGCGUGGGGAGCAAACAGG